RNAcentral lists this ribosomal RNA (530 nucleotides) under uncultured bacterium. RNAcentral's name for it is "bacterial LSU rRNA". It matches the Rfam family "Bacterial large subunit ribosomal RNA", at positions 1766 to 2305 of the family's 2925-position model. The record is from RNAcentral.
GCUCGAAAGGGUUGCAGUGAAAGGUGGCUGCGACUGUUUAUUAAAAACACAGCACUCUGCAAACACGAAAGUGGACGUAUAGGGUGUGACGCCUGCCCGGUGCUGGAAGAUUAAAUGAUGGGGUGCAAGCUCUUGACUGAAGUCCCAGUAAACGGCGGCCGUAACAAUAACGGUCCUAAGGUAGCGAAAUUCCUUGUCGGGUAAGUUCCGACCCGCACGAAUGGCGUAACGAUGGCCACACUGUCUCCUCCUGAGACUCAGCGAAGUUGAAAUGUUUGUGAAGAUGCAAUCUCCCCGCUGCUAGACGGAAAGACCCCGUGAACCUUUACUGUAGCUUUGCAUUGGACUUUGAACAGACUUGUGUAGGAUAGGUGGGAGGCUUUGAAGUGGGAACGCCAGUUCUCAUGGAGCCGUCCUUGAAAUACCACCCUGGUGUGUUUGAGGUUCUAACCUGGGUCCGUCAUCCGGAUCGGGGACCGUGCAUGGUAGGCAGUUUGACUGGGGCGGUCUCCUCCCAAAGUGUAACGGAG